Hirundo rustica (Barn swallow) is the source of this 4256-nucleotide long non-coding RNA. RefSeq lists it as uncharacterized. The transcript is spliced from 3 exons. Lineage: Eukaryota; Metazoa; Chordata; Aves; Passeriformes; Hirundinidae. The record is from RefSeq and is a predicted model, not a curated record.
GCCUGGGCUGGUGCUGGUUUCUGGCUUUGCCGUAGCCAUGGAUUCUGUUAGGCUGAACCCCUGGGCUGGCUUGACCUUGGACCUGGUUGAAGUGGCAUGUGAGCAUCCAGCAUGGGAAUGAUGAACCUAUAGCUCAGCCUUAGAAUUACUGCCAACUCCACAGGAAAACUUGAAUAAAAAGACCUAAGCUUCAAUUCCCUGGGAAAGAAAAGUCAAGACAUGGCUUCACUGAGUAUAAAUUUGGAGAUCUGCCCUGAAAACAUGCCUCUUCUACACCCAGAGAGAUUAGAAGAACACAGUCAGUGAAGGAUCUCCUCUAUGUGUGCCACUCCUGGCUCACCUAAUCUAGGACUGAUGUAUGGUGGCAAAACCCAUGGAACAUGCACCAUUUCAUCCCAGGCUGGAUAGUUCUGAGCUCAAUGCAACUGAAUACAAAGAUUUCAUAGCACUUUCUUUUGGUGGCUGCACAAAAAAUUGUUUUAUAGGAAUAAGUAUCUUUAUUCUAAAGGGUUUAGAUGGUACAUCUAUAAAGAAGAGGCACAUACAAACAGCACAAAUCACCAUUCUGCUUGUUUGUUUGUUGGCAGUGGAAGGAAUUCAGUUAUAACAAAGUGGAGGAAUGACUAUUUGCUUCUACUAGGGCAAUAAAUGACUUACUGCACCUGCCUUCUUGAGGCAGGGAAGCUCCACUGUAGAUGUCUGUUAGGACAGAAACUUCAUUGGGAGGUGAAAACAAAAAUGUGCCAACUGAAAUUGCUACGAGGGAGAGACAGCAACUCUUUCCCAUCAGGCUGUCAGCACGCAAUGAGAAUGAGUCACUGUGAUGCAGUUCUGUGAUUCAGACAAUUCAAAGCCACUCGGGGAUGUCAGACCACCAACAUACUUUUGCUGUUUGUGAAUCCAUACAAAGAGAAGAUGCGUCCUCCAGCUCUUGAUAGACUCCUACAUCUCUAACAAUUUUUUUUGUAUGAUUUUAAAUUUUUCUAAAUUUGUUACUGCAAAUCUGGUUUUAGACAACUUUUGCUCCUCAGUAAAAUAUCUAUUUGUUUCAGGUUAUUCUUUAUCAGGAAACCUAGAGGUACUACUUAGUGAAAAAGAGCCUUAGGCUAUUCAGAGAAGUAUCCUAAAAUUAGGAGUAGAUAAGGACCAAAACCCAGAACUCUUUCAUUGUUAAUAAUUGUUUUACUCAAAAAGAGAAACAAGAAAAGCUCUUCCUCUGGGAUGCAAUGUUAGUCUAAAGCAACCGCUUUUCUUUCUGGUGAACAGCUUGAGAACAGUAAGAAUGUUUUCUUGCCCUCCUGUUCAAAGUCUGAUCACAAUGCCCUGCAGCUUAUUUUGUGGGGCAGAACAAAACCUGUUGACAGGGGCUAUUUCCCUUACUAUUUCCUAAUCUAUUUUCACUAAUAAUUGCCACAGUCAGUCUUUGAAUAGAAUGGAUGUAUAAACAGAUCAGCAGAGUUCAGGCACACAGUAGGCAUAAGAAGUGCUUUCCCAUCAUACACAUUUCUAGUCAUAACCCUAUCAGAGUGUUCCUAAACUUAUGACAUCAGAAAGAUGAAAGAAUUUCCCACAGCCGCAAAAGUAAGGCAUGAUUCUACUGCUGAGAGCAGCUGGAAAACCUAUAGGAACUUAUUUUCCUCCUACUAGCCUCAAGAAACCUGUAGGAGGACUGGAAUAUGAUACCACUCACUGUUCCAUAGGAUCUGAAAGAUUGUACAGAGGUUACCAGUGGAAGUCAAAGCCUGAUUUUAUUGAUACCUUGCCUGUGGAAAGUAAGAGAUUGUGAAUGACAUAGAUUUCUUAACGUUUGCGGAGUCUAAUGAUUAGUAACUGCAAGAUGAAUCACUUGAAUGCUGGUUUUACACAGAAAAUUGGUUCAACUCAAAGAAUCCCUUGGAAAUCUUUAAGGACUGUAAAAGAAUGGAUUGAUUUCUUCCAACUCUCUGGAAGCCUGCUCAGAACACGUCAGAGUUUCUCCUUUGGGCAGUCAGGAGAAGUAAAGAGUUCAGCAGAAGCAGUCAUGAAGGACAGGGAAAUGAGUCAUCCUAAUCCACUGUAAUGAUCUCAUCAAUCCUUCACCAUGUCAAGUUAUAAAUAUAUAGUAAAUAUUGACAAGCGUGUUGAGGCAGGUUUUGAAAGAGAACAUUUAUCUUACUGUUGCUCUUGCCAGGACAGAUAAUCCUCAAAGAAGCUAGUAGUUUCAAGGAUUUAGGGAGAAACUCAUUAGGGAGAAUAUGAGAAAUCAUUUCAGCGUGGAUUUUUGGUUGCUGAAGGACAUUGAGAUCUAUUGGUGUUCUAAGUGUGAAUACCCUCUCUCCAUCUACCUCCCUACACUAUAAUCUAGUUAUUUAUUUUACUAGAAUGUUUUCCUUUGCAACUUCUAACAUUUGCAGUCAGUUUUGCUUGCCUCAAACUUUGGAGAACCAAUAGCACCCACAGUGCUGUCCCGUAUUGUCCAAAAUAACAUUUGAAAUUACCAUAAAACAUCACCUUCUCAUAAAUAUUGCACAAGUGAUUAUCCAGAUUAAAUUCACUAGAACAAUGGUAUUUCUGUCUUUUCCAGACACUUCCAGAAUUUGAGGCCUCCUGCUUUAACAUUUGGUUCUCAUAAAUUCUAUUCCUCUAUUAUUAUAAUUCUAUCACUCUGCAAAGCUAUGCUGAAUUUUUACCUGAACUCAAACUGAGAGAGCAAAAAGUACUUCUCUGGCAUACAGGGGACCAUGCUCCAAAUCACUAAGUAUCUCCUCAUCCAAAAUAAACAUUUCAGAGAAGAGUAGAAAAUACAGGAACAAAUAUUUUUGUGCCUGUGUUUAAAAAAAGAAAAAAUUCACCUAGUUUGCUUAGAAGUCCAAGCUAAGGCACAUUUUCUGAAUGGAAAACAUCAAACUUGGUAUUUCAUGCUAUUUGGCAAAGCUGUGAGCAACGGGAAGUUUCUAGGAUAAUGCUCUUUUUAUCAAGCAGAAUGUUCCUUGUUGUGUUCCUGUCAUUACAAAUCAACACAGAGCAUUUAAGCUAAUACCACUGUUAAAUCCUUCACACUAAUUAGUUAGACAAAUUGUACUGGAAGAUACAUUGUACCGUCUAAGUUGGGUGACUAUGCUGUAGAUCGAAAACAGUUCUGGAAUCCAGAUGAAGAGAACUGCUUGUUAAAUUCUCAUAAGCAUAGUCACAAACCCGUAUCAGGUAUCUUCUGCUGAUUCACGUGGAAUAUUCUAUAUUAACCAGACAUGCCAUAUUUCAUCCACAGAACUCACCAAGUCUUACAUAUAAAUCAGGAAUGACCAAUGGUCCUUAUUCCCCAAGUCAUGCACCAAAUCUUACUGAAGUCAAAAGUCACAGAGAAGUCUCAAAUUUUGGAGACCCAACAUAAAAAUCAUCACUGCGAGCGAUUUUUUCAGGCACAAUUGGAGUUGACCAUCCAAGAGCUUCACUCUUCCCUGUGAUAGGCACUAUGUUAAGGAUUCAGCUGGGAUCUCCAGAUCAGGAACACAUCACCCCUCCAUUGUUUGCUGCCGGUCACAGUCCGUGUUUCUGAUGAGCCCACUGGUCUCAUGCCAACACAGCCCCACAGCGAUGUCCCGGCAGCAGCACCGUGGCCACCAUGACCAGCUUGUGACACAACUGGAUCCGAGAGCCAGAACUGUUCACUCUUCUAUUCCAUGUCAGGUGAUCUCAAAAAUGUAUUUCAGCUUACAGAUAAUCAUGCACAUUCUAUGUUCAAAGAUACAAUUGUGUUUGUGGGAGCACUGAAGAGAUUAAAGUCAUCAUGCAGUUUUAAUAAAAUAUUCUAUCUGUUUCAGCUAAAAUUUCUGUCUGAUGUAGUGUGACUGAAACUAAUUUUGUUUGCCUUUCUUUCUCCAGACCAACAAAGAGAAUCCAAUUAAUGAGAGCCAUUUAAUGUUUUCUAAAUCUCAUUUUAAGUCCUUGUCUCCUUUCAAAGCUGGCAAAGAGAGAAAAUGUUGCUGUAUAUAAAAAAAAUUAGACAUCGUAAAAUAAUGCUUCUGUAUGAGCCCAUGUAAGAAGUCAUUAAAUGCUUCGCAAAUGUCUACUCGGGCGGAUAUGAUACGUUUAUUUAAUGAAAGAGUAAUUUCUGAAUGCUUUUGUUAAACAGUAAAUUGAAUCAUUUCCACAUAAGCUUUUGUUUCUUCAUCUGAAAACCCACAGAUGUUAUGUAGUUGAGGCAGAGUAAAUUUCUGCUAACUAACCAGGUAAUAAUUAGUUUUUAAAAGUUCAGAUGAGAUAUGUUCUGAUGUGAC